Molecule: non-coding RNA, 1296 nt
Organism: Aegilops tauschii subsp. strangulata
Lineage: Eukaryota; Viridiplantae; Streptophyta; Magnoliopsida; Poales; Poaceae
Source: RefSeq, a predicted model, not a curated record
UUUCAGCAUUGUAAAAGGAGCACGAGGUCAAAGGGGGGCAAGUGCUGAGCGGCUGGAGGCUGAUGCCUGACGGGACACCAUGCACUAGGGACAAUCUCUGCUCGUUUUCCACCAGGUGCUACCUCAAACUAACGCCUACUCUGAGCCCGCAUUCGCUAGCUACAGCCGUGGCCAACCAUUGCCCACAAUGGCUUAGGCUGAUGCCUGAUGGGACACCAUGCUUAGACGAGGAGUGCACGCCGUGGAAGUAAUCUGUUCUACGGUUCCACCCUGAACAGCAGCGGGCUUCCGAGAUAUUCGCCUAUCGAGGUAAAUAUUGUUCUGCUUCUUCGAUGUUACUUGAUGCAUGCUAGGUGCUUGACAAAAUGACAGAGUGUGUAUAUCGUCAUACACGUAUUUAGUAUUAGCCAUUCAGUUGGUAGAUGCAGCUUCUUGGAACUGUUGAAAAUUGGCCUCCGGUGAAGAAUAACAGUGCGCUGAAUAUCUCAACUAUGUAUCAGGUCUUGAAUCCCUACAUGGUGAUCCUAUCCUGGUAAACAAGUACUUAAGAACAAUUUUUGGCCAAUGUUAACUUUUUUUGGCUCAUGGUUCAACAUGUUUCCAAAUCAGAUAUGGAAGACAAGUACUCCAGCCGCUGAUGAAAGUGGCCCAGAAGCACACAUAAUGACGGACGUGGUUUUGAUUUAUAGAGCAUUUGAGGAUCAAAUGAGAUGAAGAUUCAGUUCUCUAAUUUCUGUUUUGGUUCAGUUUUUUCAUCAUUUCUACUCAAGGUGGCGAAGGGUUUCCUUGUGAUCGGCGCGGCACCAAUCUUCUGGGUGUUAUGGAAGAUCAAGAAUAAAUCCUGCUUUAAAUGUGUUCGUCCUGGAGAUCCAACCACUGUAGUUUUUUAUGUUUGUCAGUUCUUAACAUCUUGGGCAACCUUUGCAGAAAGGGGCUCUUUAAGGACUGUUGCGACAGCGAUCCGGUAAGCUGGCGAUGGUGGUGUAGGAAGUGUAUGGGCGUCGACAUAGCUGGAACCAAUAAAUUGUCGUCCUCCUUUUUGUGCCCUCCUGUGUUAGCCUAUUUGGGAUUCUAUGUCCAAUUUCCUUUUUCUCUGUAUGAGAGUUGGCUGUAGUUCGUCAAUUACUGGUCGACGAUGCUGAUGCUCAUGUUACAAGGAUAUGAUGUAAGGAGUAGUUGUUUAUGCUUUUGUGUUCUGUUUGGGUGGCUUAUACCUGGCCCGUACGCUGGUGUGUGUGCAUGUGUAUACUGGAAUGAUUUCAGCAACGAUAUUGGGCAUGUAAGCUACUUUUAUUG